Molecule: unclassified non-coding RNA, 1115 nt
Filed under: Hevea brasiliensis (rubber tree)
Lineage: Eukaryota; Viridiplantae; Streptophyta; Magnoliopsida; Malpighiales; Euphorbiaceae
Source: RNAcentral
UAUUUAUUUAUAUAAAUGCUCUCUUCUCGUUUAUCUGCAUUCUGUGUUAUACCUGAAUUUAUCUGUGUUUGUUGGCAGAUUAUCUAAUUUAUUUAGUGUUUGAAGUGUAACCACUUUUCAUGUUAGGCUAUUUUACCACAAAAUGAUGUAUUUACAAUACUUUCUAGAGGAAAAGAAUUAAAUCAUUAUUCAUGGUUUUUUUAAUGAAUUUUAUUACUUAAAAUUAGGGAGAAUUAAAGAUGAACUGUCAUAAGCUCUCAUGUAGAAUGAAAACUAUCUUGAGCUAUGAGUUAGGAAGCAAAUUAUCUUCAGGUCUUUCAGUGUGCAUCCUGAGCUUAUCACACACACACACACACACAUUUUGCAAAUUUGUAUGGUUGGAUUGAGACCAAGGAUUUCAUCUUGUAUGGAUGGAUGCAAACCUAGACAAAGUCACAUAGGCAGUCAUUACAUUUGGGUUUCCAAAACAGAAUUUCCACGUUCUACAUUGGCAUUAAGACAGGUAAUCCAAAUCAUCCAGGGGCAAUCGAGAGGAAAUUGCCACCUUCCUUGAUAACCCAAUCACAUGACACUAAGGAAUUUAGAAAAUGAAAAUUCCAAGAAAAAAAGGGAAUGCAACAAAAUUAUCUUGAUUCUUGAGUGAAGCAUUCGUACUCAGGAAAGCCCGAUGCAUAAAUCCUGUUCCACGAGUGUCACUGCUGAACACACUCCUAUAACCAACCAGACCCCUGUGGUUUACAAUAAAAUGGAUAACUAUUAGUGAAAGGAUACUUGAAAAACACUGGGAGGAACAAUUUUAGUAUAGAAUUAAUAUAAUAGAUAUAACUUUCAACAAGAAUAAUGUACUUGAGCAAUUCCUGCUUCCAAUCUGAGGCACCCUAAACAAUAUGCAUAUGCAAGAAAAUAUAACUUAUGCCAUAGUUGCAAGAUGAACCUAACAUAAUAGAAAUACACUAGUUUAACGGAAGAGGACAACACGAUACUCAAUGAGUAAGAUAUACAGCUUCAACUUGGCACCUGAUAAAUUUUACAACAAGAUUAUAUCUAAUCAAGAUGACAUGGAUCACAAUGAAAUGCUCAGGCAAAAGGAAAUAGUCUCGAGGUAUGUGAAUAAU